CUGUGAGUGUGUGGUUGGCUACCGAGAAGAAAAGCUGUUGAUUGAGUGCAGCGUUGAUAACUCUAAGGAGGCUUAGAGAAUGGAUAGGAUUCCCCUGCCCUUGGGUGGAUGAUAAGAGCUCCAUAGACAGUUGCCCUAAGCCAUGAGCUGUGGGCAUGCCACCAAAGUGUUCCUUCCUGACCGUUAACUGUAAAUCUCAUUUGCCAAAGAAAAUGCAUUUGCAUAGAGAACCAGAAGGCCAAUGAACAAGAAAGGGCAGAGCGGUUUAGCAAUGCUGUGGCUGAAUGCUUCCAUGUCGCACUUCGGGGUUUAUCAGGUAAUGAUAGAUGUUUUAUGGUUUUACUUGGUGAAGAGAAAGAGUAGCAAUGCCAUUCUUUUAUACUGGGGGAUGAGGUUGGUAGAUUUGGUUUCAGCAUGAUUGUCAGCUUAAAGGGCAUACUUAGUUCAACCCUAUAGGAGUUGGUGCAUCCACUAACCUAUCAAACUGCUAAAUUCUCAUAAUACUUUGCUUCCUUAGACUUUUCUUGAGCAUGUUUUUCUAUGCAUAAGCAUCAUUAGAUUUUGCUUCACAUUUCACCUUUCAAUUAUUCCUUGUAACUGAAAGUUCAUUGUUUUGCAUAAUAGUUUGGUGGUCUACUAACCAGAUUAAUGUGGUGGGAAGGUUGAAGAAACAAUAUGAAAGGGCUAGGAAAAUGGGUAUAUGCUUUUUUCUGGAGUUGUUAAUCUUUACUGUGCUGGGUAUUUAUACGGUUUGAUAUUUUCUUGGCUGGCCUUCGUUCACUCCUGAUAGAAGAUUGUAUAUUUGUAUUGGUGUUGUUUUGUCACGUUUCUUGUAGUCAUUUCGUGUUUCUU
Long non-coding RNA from Ipomoea nil (Japanese morning glory), 852 nucleotides. RefSeq lists it as uncharacterized. The transcript is spliced from 3 exons. The record is from RefSeq and is a predicted model, not a curated record. NCBI's taxonomy places the organism in Eukaryota, Viridiplantae, Streptophyta, Magnoliopsida, Solanales, Convolvulaceae.